Long non-coding RNA from Schistocerca piceifrons (Central American locust), 1337 nucleotides. RefSeq lists it as uncharacterized. The record is from RefSeq and is a predicted model, not a curated record. The transcript is spliced from 4 exons. NCBI's taxonomy places the organism in Eukaryota, Metazoa, Arthropoda, Insecta, Orthoptera, Acrididae.
CCCAACUCUUUACAAAAAGAGCCACAAGGAAUUGUUUUAGUUAGUAGAAGCAUACGACAUUGGAAUGAAUAAGUAAAGCCUUGAGAAAAUGAAUCGGAAACAAUUUUUUCCAUGUCUUUUUAUUCGCUUAAAUUACCUCCAAGGCUUUGUGCGUAGUUAAUGUAAAAUCUUUGGCGCAGUAUUGUUUUGUUUUUGUUGCCUGACGCUCGCAUUCAAAUUGUCGAGGGAUGAACAAAUUCACACGUGAAUGUUGGAGUUAAUGUGUUUGUUGGAUGUAACAGAGCCGUUGGUGUUUUGUUGGAGCUGUGCCUCUGCUUGGACAUGGAAACAUCUUGUUGACAACCAUCUGCUCCAGCAACUACUACUGUACUCAUCUCUGCAUUAAGCAUUUGUGGAGCACCUCAGGGUGACAAGCUUCUGCCGUAAUUACCAUAAACGCCUCGGAUGUGAAGCCAUCUACACACUGCUACCACUUUGUUAGUGUUCUGGGGUGUGGCAAACCUGUAUUAAAACAGCGCCUAACAUAAUUAUAUGCCCUGUGGGAAUAAAAAUGCAGUGUUAAGGCAAAGGAGCACAGUUCUGGGCUGUAUGACCUAGGUACAGCCUGUGCUCUAGCUUUCGCAGUUUGUCGCUGCAGCAAGUCUCUCUGCAUUCCAGUUCAUCACUUUCAGAGGAUGUCUGACUACGUUCUGGUGGUCCUGCAGUGUGCUCAGGAACAAGAGCAGGAACUACUUCAUCCUGCACUCUGCUGACGGUAGCCAAAACUGAAGAUGGAAAAGAAGAGCUCUCCUUCCGCAAUGGUGCUUUCUCUUCUUAUCUCCCUAAACGAAAUAAACAGAUGGAAAACAUUAAGAACUGCUUUUAACAGAUGGUUGAAGGUGUUACAGUCUUUGUCAUGAACAGCAUGUUACAGCCCACUAAUUACUCCUAUUCUUAGUCCUUUCCAGAAAUAUAAAUUCUAUUUUUCCAGCAACUAUUUACCUUGUUCAUAAAAUACUCAUUACUCUAACAGAAACCAUUGUUGUUUUCAGCAGACAACUUGAAAUGCCUCCCAUGUACGAAGCUACAAUUAAUACACACUUAUUGAAAAAAUAUAAACUCUUAACAUGUAAAAUAUUUCUGCUGGGGUGUCUUGUUUAACUAUCACACUGUAUUGCUAUGAGUGCUGUCAGUUAACAAGUUCUCAAUACAACUGGUCCAACAGUUAAUGAUAUAAAAUUGUGUGUUAUAUCUAAUUUUGCACUAGUGGUUGGUGCAUAUUGAAUGUUCCACAGUAGUGGAUAAUGUUAACAAAAAGGUAGUGCCAAACCUUUUUAAUCAAUAAUGAUAUCUUUCAA